This is a long non-coding RNA of Electrophorus electricus (electric eel), 378 nucleotides long. RefSeq lists it as uncharacterized. NCBI's taxonomy places the organism in Eukaryota, Metazoa, Chordata, Actinopteri, Gymnotiformes, Gymnotidae. The record is from RefSeq and is a predicted model, not a curated record.
AGAUGAUGUCAUCAAGGGCGGCAAACAGCGGAUAUAGAGACUGAACUCCGAGUCCUUAAGGGGUCGUAAAGCUAACGCGACUACUCCCAGUUCAUUACCGUUAUAUCGGUAUUACUAGUGGGGUUUUGAUUAUAUUUUGAUAAUAUACAUCAUGGGUAGCAGGUAUCCAUCGGUUAAAAACAUCCUAAGAGGGUGUUUCUACUUUGUGUUCUUGUUGCUGAUGCACAGAGUGUCCCUGGAGAAUGUCCCUGUUGUUGCUUUUACAGGCGGAACUGUGAUUUUGCCAUGUUCAAACAAUGAUAAUAAACUCCAAAGUGAUUUUGCAGGAUUCUUUUGGUGACAGAAUGACAGCAAUACUGUGCUUGACAAAGGGUGGCA